AUGGCCGCACCGCCGCCGCCGCCGGUGCUCCCGGACGAUGUCGUCGAAGAGAUCCUCCUCCGCCUCCCGCCCGACGACCCAGGCUGCCUCUUCCGCGCCUCCCUCGUCUGCAAGGCCUGGAGGAGCGCCGUCACCCAUCCCCACUUCCGCCGCCGCUACAUCGGGCUCCACCGCCACCGGGCGCCCCCCGUGCUCGGCUUCCUCCACGACUGGGAAGACGAGCGCAUCCCUGACUUCGUCCCCACCACCGCCUCGCCCUUCUCCCUCCCCGCUCCAGACCGCCGGUUCUGGCGCCCCCUCGACUGCCGCCACGGCCGCGCCCUCUUCCUCUACGACCGCGGCCAAGAAACUCAGGAACUCCUCCUGUGGGAGCCAAUCACGGGCGCCCGUCAGCGCAUACCGGUGCCCUCGGCGUUCAGGUGCGCGUGGCCGACCGCGGCCGUGUUCUGCGCAGCCCACGGGUGCGGCCACCGCGACUGUGCGGGGGGCCCCUUCGGCGUGGUCUUCGUCUUCACCCUCGACAUCUCGCCCAACGCAGACGUUGUCACAUCGGCGUGCUUGUACUCGUCGGAGACUGGCACGUGGGGCAAGCUGAACUCGAGGGAAUACGAGUUCAGCAUGGACUUUGAGCAUCAUUCCAGCGUGCUGGUUGGGAGGUCUCUGCUCUACUUCCUCUCCGACGGUGGGAUGAUCCCGGAGUACAAUUUGGGCAGUGGUGAACUGGCUGCGUUCCGCCCACCACCUGACGAUUACGGCAGUGACAACCACAGAUUUAACCUCAUGCUGGCGGAGGACGGUGGGCUGGGGGUUGCCGAAGCCAUUGAUUUUCAGCUCAUAUUGUGGAAAAGGGAGGCGAGUGAUGGCACUAAUGCACGAUGGGUGCUGAGCCGGAUCGUCGACCUGGACAUCGAUCCAUGCACACUUGUUCCAGUGUUGGGCUUUGCGGAGGGAGCAAAUGCUAUUUUCGUGAAAACUAUUGGUAGUCUCUUCAUGAUCGAGCUGCAGUCGGAGCAAGCGAAAAGGGUGUGCCAUAAUCAUGGCUUCUGUAAUUUGAUUCCAGUUGUCAGCUUCUACACUCCACAUUCUAGGCUCCAAGUGCCCAGGGGUGAACACCAGGACCCAGCGCCGCCGCUGAACCUACUGAGGAGGGGUGGUCAGCAAGGGGUAUGGGAGAAGAAAUCACUAGAAUUGGCGCAAUUGCUGUUUGAUAAGGGGUGCAAGGCUAUCAAUGAGAAGGACUUUGCCCACGCGGCUGACUGCUUCAGACAUGCUCUUGAGAUCAGGGUUCGACAUUAUGGAGGCCUUGCUCCUGAGUGUGCUAGCACGUUUUACCGUUAUGGAGGUGCCUUGUUAUGCAAAGCUCGGGAGGCAGCCAAUCGUUCAGGUAAUGUUUCAAAGCGUGCACCAAAUGAAGAAUCAAUCACACCUACAACCAACAAAGAUGAUUGUGAAGAAGGGGCAAACUUGCUUGGCAAAGGUCAGACGGAUGGGAACAUGACAGGCGAUGGAGAUGAUUCUGAUUUGGAUUUGGCCUGGAAAAUGUUGAAUACUGCAAGGGUCAUAGUUGCCAAGAGUCCAGAGAAGACAAUGGAGAAGGUUAAUAUAUUGAUUGCUCUAGCUGAAAUCUCGAUGACAAGAGAGGACAGAGACAGCUCAAUCGGUUACUACUUCGAAGCUUUAGCGAUAUUGGAACAUUUGGUUAGGCCUGACCAUUUUCGAAUUGUCGAUCUAAACAUCCGCAUAUGUUUGGCCUUUGAGUUAGCAUCCAAGGUUGGGGAUGCAAUCCCAUAUUGUGCAAAGGCUAUUUCAUUAUGCAAGUCGCGUAUACAUAAUCUGAAAAUUGCCAAGGAAGCUUUGUUGGCUGAUAAAGACCUUAGAGCAUCUGCUGCUAAAGGACACUCAGGAAAGUUGACUCUGGAAGAGGAGAUAUCUUACCUUGCUAGAAUGUUGCCUCGAUUCCAGAAGAAGCUUGAAGAACUGAAGCAAGCAAUGUCAACCCCAAGCGACGGCAUAGAUAAUAUUAUGAAGAGGGUGGUCUCACAGGCAAGUCAUGAGCAGAGUGUUAACAAUACUAUGGCAAGAACUGCAUCUUUGACUUCUUCACAGAUGGCACGAUCAAACAACAGCUUCCAUUCCCCAACUAUGUCUACGGCAGCACCAAGAGAAAGCAUUGGAAGUAGCGUAACCGACUUUGAGAUUGUUGGCAGAGACAUGAAACGAGCUAAAGAUGAGUCGAUCUCCUACGAACCUUCUCCAAAGAGACUUGCAGCAGAUGAUUCACCAUCCGUGAAUGAAAUUUGA
Molecule: ribosomal RNA, 2301 nt
Filed under: Triticum aestivum (bread wheat)
Lineage: Eukaryota; Viridiplantae; Streptophyta; Magnoliopsida; Poales; Poaceae
Description: partial small subunit ribosomal RNA
Source: RNAcentral